Molecule: ribosomal RNA, 606 nt
Filed under: uncultured bacterium
Lineage: Bacteria
Description: partial 16S ribosomal RNA
Rfam family: Bacterial small subunit ribosomal RNA (bases 1-193)
Source: RNAcentral
UUAGGGGCUAAUCGACAUGGGGGCACCCUGUGCCAGCAUGCCGCGUGUGUGAAGAAGGCCUGCGGGUUGUAAAGCACUUUUCGGCUGGGAAGAAAAGUCCGGCGUUAACACCGCCGGGCCUUGACGUUACCGGCAGAGAGCACCGGCCAACUCUGUGCCAGCAGCCCGCGGUAAUACAAGAGGGGUGGCAAGCCCUUAAAUCCGGAAACCCCCCUGGGCCUAAAAGGCGGGGCCGUUGGGGUGGCUAAAAGCAAGGUCGGUUGUUAAAAUCCCCCGGGCCUUUAAACCUGGGAAACUUGCCAGUCGAAUACUACUUUGGCUGGGAGUUAUGGUAAGAAGGGGAAAGUGGGAAUUUUCCCGGUGUAAGCCGGUGAAAAUGCUGUAAGAAUAUCGGGAAGGAAACACCCAAAUGGAAUCCACUUAGUGAAAUUUCCGCCGGGCCCCCCCUGGCAGGAUCCGAACCCAAUAUGGGGAAGAAGCCUCCCAAAACCGCGUUGGGAAUGCCAUAAGCUUUGGAGUAUCUCUAUAGUGUCACACCCUAAAAUAACCGAAUACCCCGCGCGCCCCGAUAAUGGCCGCGCCUGCAAAACCUUGCUAAACAUUCCG